GACGAACGCUGGCGGCGUGCUUAACACAUGCAAGUCGAACGGAAAGGCCCUGCUUUUGUGGGGUGCUCGAGUGGCGAACGGGUGAGUAACACGUGAGUAACCUGCCCUUGACUUUGGGAUAACUUCAGGAAACUGGGGCUAAUACCGGAUAGGAGCUCCUGCUGCAUGGUGGGGGUUGGAAAGUUUCGGCGGUUGGGGAUGGACUCGCGGCUUAUCAGCUUGUUGGUGGGGUAGUGGCUUACCAAGGCUUUGACGGGUAGCCGGCCUGAGAGGGUGACCGGCCACAUUGGGACUGAGAUACGGCCCAGACUCCUACGGGAGGCAGCAGUGGGGAAUAUUGCACAAUGGGCGGAAGCCUGAUGCAGCAACGCCGCGCGCGGGAUGACGGCCUUCGGGUUGUAAACCGCUUUCGCCUGUGACGAAGCGUGAGUGACGGUAAUGGGUAAAGAAGCACCGGCUAACUACGUGCCAGCAGCCGCGGUGAUACGUAGGGUGCGAGCGUUGUCCGGAUUUAUUGGGCGUAAAGGGCUCGUAGGUGGUUGAUCGCGUCGGAAGUGUAAUCUUGGGGCUUAACCCUGAGCGUGCUUUCGAUACGGGUUGACUUGAGGAAGGUAGGGGAGAAUGGAAUUCCUGGUGGAGCGGUGGAAUGCGCAGAUAUCAGGAGGAACACCAGUGGCGAAGGCGGUUCUCUGGGCCUUUCCUGACGCUGAGGAGCGAAAGCGUGGGGAGCGAACAGGCUUAGAUACCCUGGUAGUCCACGCUGUAAACGGUGGGUACUAGGUGUGGGGUCCAUUCCACGGGUUCCGUGCCGUAGCUAACGCUUUAAGUACCCCGCCUGGGGAGUACGGCCGCAAGGCUAAAACUCAAAGGAAUUGACGGGGCCCCGCACAAGCGGCGGAGCAUGCGGAUUAAUUCGAUGCAACGCGUAGAACCUUACCUGGGUUUGACAUGGAUCGGGAGUGCUCAGAGAUGGGUGUGCCUCUUUUGGGGUCGGUUCACAGGUGGUGCAUGGCUGUCGUCAGCUCGUGUCGUGAGAUGUUGGGUUAAGUCCCGCAACGAGCGCAACCCUUGUUCACUGUUGCCAGCACGUUAUGGUGGGGACUCAGUGGAGACCGCCGGGGUCAACUCGGAGGAAGGUGGGGAUGACGUCAAGCCAUCAUGCCCCUUAUGUCCAGGGCUUCACGCAUGCUACAAUGGCUGGUACAGAGAGUGGCGAGCCUGUGAGGGUGAGCGAAUCUCGGAAAGCCGGUCUCAGUUCGGAUUGGGGUCUGCAACUCGACCUCAUGAAGUCGGAGUCGCUAGUAAUCGCAGAUCAGCAACGCUGCGGUGAAUACGUUCCCGGGGCU
RNAcentral lists this ribosomal RNA (1346 nucleotides) under uncultured bacterium. RNAcentral's name for it is "partial 16S ribosomal RNA". It matches the Rfam family "Bacterial small subunit ribosomal RNA", at positions 28 to 1381 of the family's 1533-position model. The record is from RNAcentral.